This is a long non-coding RNA of Branchiostoma belcheri (Belcher's lancelet), 317 nucleotides long. RefSeq lists it as uncharacterized. The transcript has 2 exons. Lineage: Eukaryota; Metazoa; Chordata; Leptocardii; Amphioxiformes; Branchiostomatidae. The record is from RefSeq and is a predicted model, not a curated record.
AGCUAACAACUACAAAGAGUCUCGGUGUGAGAGUGUUCUGCGAGCCAUGGAGAGGUGUUGUGAGAAGCCCUCCGCUCAGGACUCAGUCUGCUGCUCAGGGUUCAGAAAAAACAACAGAAGGAAACAUGAGGACAAGGAGAAAAGAUGACAGGACACUGGGGAAGACACACAGGCUGAAUGAAUAGUAGAAAUCGGCCUCAAAAGAGUGUAGCUGGCCAGGGGAGUUGGCCAGCGAUAGAGGGGCCCAGUUUGCCAACGAAGACUAAGAAUACAGGAAAGUGACUGAUUUGCUAAAAACUCAGAAAAACUUUCCAGUU